GGUUAAGCGACUAAGCGUACACGGUGGAUGCCCUGGCAGUCAGAGGCGAUGAAGGACGUGCUAAUCUGCGAAAAGCGUCGGUAAGGUGAUAUGAACCGUUAUAACCGGCGAUGUCCGAAUGGGGAAACCCAGUGUGUUCCGACACACUAUCAUUAACUGAAUCCAUAGGUUAAUGAGGCGAACCGGGGGAACUGAAACAUCUAAGUACCCCGAGGAAAAGAAAUCAACCGAGAUUCCCCCAGUAGCGGCGAGCGAACGGGGAGGAGCCCAGAGCCUGAAUCAGUGUGUGUGUUAGUGGAAGCGUCUGGAAAGGCGCGCGAUACAGGGUGACAGCCCCGUACACAAAAAUGCACAUGCUGUGAGCUCGAUGAGUAGGGCGGGACACGUGGUAUCCUGUCUGAAUAUGGGGGGACCAUCCUCCAAGGCUAAAUACUCCUGACUGACCGAUAGUGAACCAGUACCGUGAGGGAAAGGCGAAAAGAACCCCGGCGAGGGGAGUGAAAAAGAACCUGAAACCGUGUACGUACAAGCAGUGGGAGCCUCUUAAUGGGGUGACUGCGUACCUUUUGUAUAAUGGGUCAGCGACUUAUAUUCUGUAGCAAGGUUAACCGAAUAGGGGAGCCGGAGGGAAACCGAGUCUUAACUGGGCGUUAAGUUGCAGGGUAUAGACCCGAAACCCGGUGAUCUAGCCAUGGGCAGGUUGAAGGUUGGGUAACACUAACUGGAGGACCGAACCGACUAAUGUUGAAAAAUUAGCGGAUGACUUGUGGCUGGGGGUGAAAGGCCAAUCAAACCGGGAGAUAGCUGGUUCUCCCCGAAAGCUAUUUAGGUAGCGCCUCGUGAAUUCAUCUCCGGGGGUAGAGCACUGUUUCGGCAAGGGGGUCAUCCCGACUUACCAACCCGAUGCAAACUGCGAAUACCGGAGAAUGUUAUCACGGGAGACACACGGCGGGUGCUAACGUCCGUCGUGAAGAGGGAAACAACCCAGACCGCCAGCUAAGGUCCCAAAGUCAUGGUUAAGUGGGAAACGAUGUGGGAAGGCCCAGACAGCCAGGAUGUUGGCUUAGAAGCAGCCAUCAUUUAAAGAAAGCGUAAUAGCUCACUGGUCGAGUCGGCCUGCGCGGAAGAUGUAACGGGGCUAAACCAUGCACCGAAGCUGCGGCAGCGACGCUGAUGCGUUGUUGGGUAGGGGAGCGUUCUGUAAGCCUGUGAAGGUGUGCUGUGAGGCAUGCUGGAGGUAUCAGAAGUGCGAAUGCUGACAUAAGUAACGAUAAAGCGGGUGAAAAGCCCGCUCGCCGGAAGACCAAGGGUUCCUGUCCAACGUUAAUCGGGGCAGGGUGAGUCGACCCCUAAGGCGAGGCCGAAAGGCGUAGUCGAUGGGAAACAGGUUAAUAUUCCUGUACUUGGUGUUACUGCGAAGGGGGGACGGAGAAGGCUAUGUUGGCCGGGCGACGGUUGUCCCGGUUUAAGCGUGUAGGCUGGUUUUCCAGGCAAAUCCGGAGAAUCAAGGCUGAGGCGUGAUGACGAGGCACUACGGUGCUGAAGCAACAAAUGCCCUGCUUCCAGGAAAAGCCUCUAAGCAUCAGGUAACAUCAAAUCGUACCCCAAACCGACACAGGUGGUCAGGUAGAGAAUACCAAGGCGCUUGAGAGAACUCGGGUGAAGGAACUAGGCAAAAUGGUGCCGUAACUUCGGGAGAAGGCACGCUGAUGGUAGGUGAAGCGACUUGCUCGUGGAGCUGAAAUCAGUCGAAGAUACCAGCUGGCUGCAACUGUUUAUUAAAAACACAGCACUGUGCAAACACGAAAGUGGACGUAUACGGUGUGACGCCUGCCCGGUGCCGGAAGGUUAAUUGAUGGGGUCAGCGCAAGCGAAGCUCUUGAUCGAAGCCCCGGUAAACGGCGGCCGUAACUAUAACGGUCCUAAGGUAGCGAAAUUCCUUGUCGGGUAAGUUCCGACCUGCACGAAUGGCGUAAUGAUGGCCAGGCUGUCUCCACCCGAGACUCAGUGAAAUUGAACUCGCUGUGAAGAUGCAGUGUACCCGCGGCAAGACGGAAAGACCCCGUGAACCUUUACUAUAGCUUGACACUGAACACUGGUCCUUGAUGUGUAGGAUAGGUGGGAGGCUUUGAAGUGUGGACGCCAGUCUGCAUGGAGCCGUCCUUGAAAUACCACCCUUUAAUGGCUGGUGUUCUAACGUUGGCCCCUUAUCGGGGUUGCGGACAGUGUCUGGUGGGUAGUUUGACUGGGGCGGUCUCCUCCUAAAGAGUAACGGAGGAGCACGAAGGUUGGCUAAUCCUGGUCGGACAUCAGGAGGUUAGUGCAAUGGCAUAAGCCAGCUUGACUGCGAGCGUGACGGCGCGAGCAGGUGCGAAAGCAGGUCAUAGUGAUCCGGUGGUUCUGAAUGGAAGGGCCAUCGCUCAACGGAUAAAAGGUACUCCGGGGAUAACAGGCUGAUACCGCCCAAGAGUUCAUAUCGACGGCGGUGUUUGGCACCUCGAUGUCGGCUCAUCACAUCCUGGGGCUGAAGUAGGUCCCAAGGGUAUGGCUGUUCGCCAUUUAAAGUGGUACGCGAGCUGGGUUUAGAACGUCGUGAGACAGUUCGGUCCCUAUCUGCCGUGGGCGCUGGAGAACUGAGGGGGGCUGCUCCUAGUACGAGAGGACCGGAGUGGACGCAUCACUGGUGUUCGGGUUGUCAUGCCAAUGGCACUGCCCGGUAGCUAAAUGCGGAAGAGAUAAGUGCUGAAAGCAUCUAAGCACGAAACUUGCCCCGAGAUGAGUUCUCCCUGAGACUUAGAGUCUCCUGAAGGAACGUUGAAGACGACGACGUUGAUAGGCCGGGUGUGUAAGCGCAGCGAUGCGUUGAGCUAACCGGUACUAAUGAACCGUGAGGCUUAACCUU
Molecule: ribosomal RNA, 2902 nt
Filed under: Escherichia albertii
Lineage: Bacteria; Pseudomonadati; Pseudomonadota; Gammaproteobacteria; Enterobacterales; Enterobacteriaceae
Description: 23S ribosomal RNA
Rfam family: Bacterial large subunit ribosomal RNA
Source: RNAcentral